RNAcentral lists this non-coding RNA (540 nucleotides) under Ovis aries (sheep). Its description in RNAcentral is "Eukaryotic large subunit ribosomal RNA". It matches the Rfam family "Eukaryotic large subunit ribosomal RNA", at positions 1 to 634 of the family's 3401-position model. The record is from Rfam by way of RNAcentral. Lineage: Eukaryota; Metazoa; Chordata; Mammalia; Artiodactyla; Bovidae.
UCCAUCAAAAUUAUGUGUACUCAAAGUAGAGGGAAAUAAGGAAUAAGGAAUAAGGAAAGAGUUGAAAACAACUGGUUGCUCCUUCUGAUGGAGGCCCAGCCCAGGGUUGGUGUGAGGCUGGCAGACCUGGCAUACCAGACCAGGUCUCCCUGGAGUCAAAUUGCUUUGGAAUGCAGCCCAAAGUGGGUGGUAAACUCCAUCAAAGGCUAAAUACCUGCACAAGACCAAUAGUCACCAAGUUCUGUAAGAGAAAGUUGAAAAGAACUUUGGAGAGAGAGUUUAAAAGGGUGUGAAAUCAUUAAGAGGUAAGCAGGUAGGGUCUGAGGAGUCCUCCUGGAGUAGGGAGAAAAAAAUAAAAAAGAACUGGAUGCUGAACAAGAGAGAAAAUAGCACUGAAAGUACACCUUAUAAUUUUGGAAGAGACUUUUUUUCUCUUCCUCCCAUGAAUUUGCUUUCGGUGUCUUCAUAGGACCCUUUACACCACUUCUCUAAUUUCUCUAAUGGCUUUUCUUAUUUAUGACCAAAGAUUCCUGUUCACAG